GAUCGCUGUGAUGCGGGCGGUUCGCUGCUCGUGACUCUGCGAGAAGUCCAUUGAACCUUAUCAUUUAGAGGAAGGAGAAGUCGUAACAAGGUUUCCGUAGGUGAACCUGCGGAAGGAUCAUUGUCGAGACCGAAAUGUAUCGAGCGAUUUGGAGAACCUGUCAUAAGAUGCGGCAGCUGUUGUUGCUGCAUUAGAACUGUCCCAGUCGUCAUCUCAUCCCCUUUGGGGCGGGAGCGUGAUGAAGGAUGGGAGAACCCUCAAACCGGCGCAGUAUCGCGUCAAGGAAAUAUCAGAGUAUGAGCCCUUGAAUGGGUUUGUUGGCAUUGGGUGAUGUUGCACUCAUGUGGAUUGACAUGACUCUCGGCAAUGGAUAUCUCGGCUCUCGCAUCGAUGAAGAGCGCAGCGAAAUGUGAUACGUGGUGCGAAUUGCAGAAUCCCGCGAACCAUCGAGUCUUUGAACGCAAGUUGCGCCUGAGGCCAACCGGCCAAGGGCACGUCCGCCUGGGUGUCAAGCAUUAUGUUGCUCCGUGUCAACUCUAUCCCAUCGAUGGAUGGGAUGGCGAAGGCUUGGAUGCGUAGAGUGGCUCGUCGUGUCCCACGGUACGGCGGGCUCAAAAGCGGUUCUUCAUCUCACUGGCUGCGAACAAUAAGGGGUGGAUUUAAACGAGGCCUAUGUUAUUGUGUCGUGCAUGCCACCGAGUUGAUUAUACUUAUUCAGGUGAUCCCAAGCCAAGCACCGAUCCAUGGAUGGUGUUUGGAAUGUGACCCCAGGAUGGGCGAGGCCACCCGCCGAGUUUAAGCAUAUCAAUAAGCGGAGGAGAAGAAACUUGUUUAAGCAUAUCAAUAAGCGGAGGAGAAGAAACUU
RNAcentral lists this ribosomal RNA (865 nucleotides) under Dendrobium capillipes. RNAcentral describes it as "eukaryotic LSU rRNA". The stretch from base 356 to 511 matches the Rfam family "5.8S ribosomal RNA". The record is from RNAcentral. Lineage: Eukaryota; Viridiplantae; Streptophyta; Magnoliopsida; Asparagales; Orchidaceae.